This 502-nucleotide ribosomal RNA is filed under the name uncultured Glomeromycotina. Its description in RNAcentral is "partial small subunit ribosomal RNA". It matches the Rfam family "Eukaryotic small subunit ribosomal RNA", at positions 591 to 1092 of the family's 1831-position model. The record is from RNAcentral. Lineage: Eukaryota; Fungi; Glomeromycota.
CCAAUAGCGUAUAUUAAAGUUGUUGCAGUUAAAAAGCUCGUAGUUGAAUUUCGGAAUCUGUCCGUUGGUCGGGCUUCACUGUCCGUACUGGUGUGGUGGGUUCUUACCUUCUGAAUAACCAGCAUGCCAUUCACUUGGUGCGUUGGGGAAGCAGGACUAUUACCUUGAAAAAAUUAGAGUGCUCAAAGCAGGCUAGUGCCUGAAUACAUUAGCAUGGAAUAAUAAAAUAGGACGGCAUGGUUCUAUUUUGUUGGUUUCUAGGAUCACCGUAAUGAUUAAUAGGGAUAGUUGGGGGCAUUAGUAUUCAAUUGUCAGAGGUGAAAUUCUUGGAUUUAUUGAAAACUAACUUCUGCGAAAGCAUUUGCCAAGGAUGUUUUCAUUAAUCAAGAACGAAAGUUAGGGGAUCGAAGACGAUCAGAUACCGUCGUAGUCUUAACCAUAAACUAUGCCGACUAGGGAUCGGACGAUGUUAAUUUUUUAAUGACUCGUUCGGCGCCUUACG